RNAcentral lists this ribosomal RNA (650 nucleotides) under uncultured bacterium. Its description in RNAcentral is "bacterial SSU rRNA". It matches the Rfam family "Bacterial small subunit ribosomal RNA", at positions 213 to 854 of the family's 1533-position model. The record is from RNAcentral.
UUGCGCUACUAGAGCGGCCGAUGGCAGAUUAGGUAGUUGGUGGGAUAAAAGCUUACCAAGCCUUCGAUCUGUAGCUGGUCUGAGAGGACGACCAGCCACAUUGGAACUGAGACACGGUCCAGACUCCUACGGGAGGCAGCAGUGGGGAAUUUUGGACAAUGGGGGCAACCCUGAUCCAGCCAUGCCGCGUGAGUGAAGAAGGCCUUCGGGUUGUAAAGCACUUUAAGCGAGGAGGAGGCUACUUGGAUUAAUACUCUAGGAUAGUGGACGUUACUCGCAGAAUAAGCACCGGCUAACUCUGUGCCAGCAGCCGCGGUAAUACAGAGGGUGCGAGCGUUAAUCGGAUUUACUGGGCGUAAAGCGUGCGUAGGCGGCUUUUUAAGUCGGAUGUGAAAUCCCUGAGCUUAACUUAGGAAUUGCAUUCGAUACUGGGAAGCUAGAGUAUGGGAGAGGAUGGUAGAAUUCCAGGUGUAGCGGUGAAAUGCGUAGAGAUCUGGAGGAAUACCGAUGGCGAAGGCAGCCAUCUGGCCUAAUACUGACGCUGAGGUACGAAAGCAUGGGGAGCAAACAGGAUUAGAUACCCUGGUAGUCCAUGCCGUAAACGAUGUCUACUAGCCGUUGGGGCCUUUGAGGCUUUAGUGGCGCAGCUA